Molecule: transfer RNA, 62 nt
Filed under: Neotoma lepida (desert woodrat)
Lineage: Eukaryota; Metazoa; Chordata; Mammalia; Rodentia; Cricetidae
Rfam family: tRNA
About the family: Transfer RNA (tRNA) molecules are approximately 80 nucleotides in length. Their secondary structure includes four short double-helical elements and three loops (D, anti-codon, and T loops). Further hydrogen bonds mediate the characteristic L-shaped molecular structure. tRNAs have two regions of fundamental functional importance: the anti-codon, which is responsible for specific mRNA codon recognition, and the 3' end, to which the tRNAs corresponding amino acid is attached (by aminoacyl-tRNA synthetases). tRNAs cope with the degeneracy of the genetic code in two manners: having more than one tRNA (with a specific anti-codon) for a particular amino acid; and 'wobble' base-pairing, i.e. permitting non-standard base-pairing at the 3rd anti-codon position.
Source: Rfam by way of RNAcentral
GGGGGUGUAGUUCAGUGGUAGAAUGCUUGCCUAAUAUGUAUGAGACCCUAAGGUCAUUCCCA